CGGAAGGUCCGGGCGUUAUCCGGAUUUAUUGGGUUUAAAGGGAGCGUAGGCCGGAGAUUAAGCGUGUUGUGAAAUUGUAGACGCUCAACGUCUUGCACUGCAGCGCGAACUGGUUUCCUUGAGUACGCACAAAGUGGGCGGAAUUCGUGGUGUAGCGGUGAAAUGCUUAGAUAUCACGAAGAACUCCGAUUGCGAAGGCUAGCUCACUGGAGCGCAACUGACGCUGAAGCUCGAAAGUGCGGGUAUCGA
RNAcentral lists this ribosomal RNA (249 nucleotides) under uncultured bacterium. RNAcentral's name for it is "partial 16S ribosomal RNA". It matches the Rfam family "Bacterial small subunit ribosomal RNA", at positions 526 to 771 of the family's 1533-position model. The record is from RNAcentral.